RNAcentral lists this unclassified non-coding RNA (195 nucleotides) under Glomus sp. RNAcentral describes it as "partial internal transcribed spacer 2". The record is from RNAcentral. Lineage: Eukaryota; Fungi; Glomeromycota; Glomeromycetes; Glomerales; Glomeraceae.
GUGAAUCAUCGAAUCUUUGAACGCAAAUUGCACUCACUCCGGAGAGGAUGACUGUAUGAGGGUCAGCGUAAAAAAAAUCGACAUAGUCUCCGUUUCGCGGUGGCAGUUGUCGGAAAUUGGGACACUUAAAACCUUUGUGUGAUUUAAGCGGCUUAAAAUUUUCUUUACGAUUCCACGAACGUUUCUAAGAUUUUA